CAGCAGUAGGGAAUAUUGGUCAAUGGAUGGAAGUCUGAACCAGCCAUGCCGCGUGCAGGAAGAAGGCCUUCUGGGUUGUAAACUGCUUUUGCCGGGGGAUAAAAUUCCCAUGCGUGGGACAUUGAAGGUACCCGGUGAAUAAGCCACGGCUAACUACGUGCCAGCAGCCGCGGUAAUACGUAGGUGGCAAGCGUUGUCCGGAUUUAUUGGGUUUAAAGGGUGCGUAGGCGGCCUAUUAAGUCAGUUCUGAAAUAUCCCGGCUUAACCGGGAGGGUGGCAUUGAUACUGAUGGGCUUGAGUGGAAUCGAGGUAGGCGGAAUUGACGGUGUAGCGGUGAAAUGCUUAGAUAUCGUCAAGAACACCGAUAGUGUAGCCAGCUUACUAGACUUCAACUGAACGCUGAGGCACGAAAGUGUGGGGAUCAAACAGGAUUAGAUAUCCCUGGUAGUCCCCACUGUAAAGCGUUGAUUACUCGCCGUGUGCGAUAU
This 488-nucleotide ribosomal RNA is filed under the name uncultured bacterium. Its description in RNAcentral is "bacterial SSU rRNA". It matches the Rfam family "Bacterial small subunit ribosomal RNA", at positions 349 to 832 of the family's 1533-position model. The record is from RNAcentral.